GAUGAACGCUGGCGGCGUGCCUAAUACAUGCAAGUCGAGCGAACAGAUGAGGAGCUUGCUCCUCUGACGUUAGCGGCGGACGGGUGAGUAACACGUGGAUAACCUACCUAUAAGACUGGGAUAACUUCGGGAAACCGGAGCUAAUACCGGAUAAUAUAUUGAACCGCAUGGUUCAAUAGUGAAAGACGGUUUUGCUGUCACUUAUAGAUGGAUCCGCGCCGCAUUAGCUAGUUGGUAAGGUAACGGCUUACCAAGGCAACGAUGCGUAGCCGACCUGAGAGGGUGAUCGGCCACACUGGAACUGAGACACGGUCCAGACUCCUACGGGAGGCAGCAGUAGGGAAUCUUCCGCAAUGGGCGAAAGCCUGACGGAGCAACGCCGCGUGAGUGAUGAAGGUCUUCGGAUCGUAAAACUCUGUUAUUAGGGAAGGACAAAUGUGUAAGUAACUAUGCACGUCCUGACGGUACCUAAUCAGAAAGCCACGGCUAACUACGUG
This 497-nucleotide ribosomal RNA is filed under the name uncultured bacterium. RNAcentral's name for it is "partial 16S ribosomal RNA". It matches the Rfam family "Bacterial small subunit ribosomal RNA", at positions 28 to 507 of the family's 1533-position model. The record is from RNAcentral.